GUUUUGUGUUAAAAGGGGUCUUUUUUCUCCUCUCUUCGCUUUCAUCCGGAAUUCAUUUCCAGUCUCUCUGAGAACCAACCCCUGUGUUCCAGGAAAUGUUUCCGAAUUCCUGAGCUAAAAAAAAAAACAUUUGAAAACCUCAUUUGAAUUUUUAAACAGCUUUGCCUGCCCCAAAUGGUUUUUGCCAAAUGAAAGAGCUGCACCUGAAAAGUUUUUCCCAGCUCCAGGGGAGAGCUGGAUCUGCAUGUGGAAGCAGCUGGAAUGCUGAGGGAGAACAGGGAAAGAGGAACAGCACAAUGGGAGGGAAGGAUGUGGUUUGCUAUCAGUGAAACCUCCAACUUCACUUUUACAGCAUAAAUACAGCACAACAGGCCUUUGGGAUCAGCAAAAUGAGGAAUAGGAACACGAGGUUGGAAUAGGAACACGAGGCUGGAAUAGGAACACGAGGCUGGAAUAGGAACACGAGGCUGGAAUAGGAACAUGAGGUUGGAAUACAGGGAUUGCUGUCACCAGGAUCCUGAUUUCCUCUGCUCUGCUCAAGGCUGGGAUUAAAUCAGGAUUUAUUCCAGACCUCCAAUGCCGUGGUCAUUCCUUGGUUAUCUUGGGAAACCAGAUAAGGUUUCCAGGAAAAGGGAAGGACUUCAAACUGAAGGGCAGGCCGGGAGCUUUGUGCUCCCAGGAAAUCCUGGAAAACUCCGUGUCCAAGGCUCUGCUUCCCAAGGUGCUGUUUAUUUUUGUGGGCUAUUGAUUUGCUGCCAGGAUGAAGUGGAUUUAAUUUUAACUGAUAGUCCAGUGGUUCAUUGUGGUUUUAAAUUCUUGGUGAGGCUCGUGUUUGCAGGGCCUGGGGAGGGAGGGGAUUCCUCACAAACACCACUGAGCAGGGAAAGUGAAAUAUUUCCCUGUGCGAUCCCUGCACUGCUGCAGCCUAAAGGAGCCUGGGGAAAUAACUCAGAUAUGGAUAAAUGGAGACAUAAAUCCUGCUGUAAAUAGGGAAUAGCACAGGGACAGGUGGAUUUCUCACCUUUUCAGCUCCUUUUGUCUGGCCCUGCAGGCCAGAAGCAGCACAGGACCCCAGAAGGGUUUGGGUGGGAAGGAACCUGCAAACAUCUCAUCCCACCUUCCACCAGAGGCUGGGAAUGUUCCAGAAGAUCUGGACACGAUCCUGUGCCAGCUGGACCCACUGGGGUCUCCUCCAAGCUGAUCCAGUCUGGGAUCUGCUGGUUCUGCUCUGG
RNAcentral lists this long non-coding RNA (1232 nucleotides) under Parus major (Great Tit). RNAcentral's name for it is "lncRNA (ENSPMJG00000006001.1)". The record is from RNAcentral. Lineage: Eukaryota; Metazoa; Chordata; Aves; Passeriformes; Paridae.